Molecule: ribosomal RNA, 577 nt
Filed under: uncultured bacterium
Lineage: Bacteria
Description: bacterial SSU rRNA
Rfam family: Bacterial small subunit ribosomal RNA
Source: RNAcentral
GGCAGCAGUGGGGAAUAUUGCACAAUGGGCGCAAGCCUGAUGCAGCCAUGCCGCGUGUAUGAAGAAGGCCUUCGGGUUGUAAAGUACUUUCAGCGAGGAGGAAGGCAUUAAGGUUAAUAACCUUAGUGAUUGACGUUACUCGCAGAAGAAGCACCGGCUAACUCCGUGCCAGCAGCCGCGGUAAUACGGAGGGUGCAAGUGUUAAUCGGAAUUACUGGGCGUAAAGCGCACGCAGGCGGUUUGUUAAGUCGGAUGUGAAAUCCCCGGGCUCAACCUGGGAACUGCAUUCGAAACUGGCAAGCUUGAGUCUUGUAGAGGGGGGUAGAAUUCCAGGUGUAGCGGUGAAAUGCGUAGAGAUCUGGAGGAAUACCGGUGGCGAAGGCGGCCCCCUGGACAAAGACUGACGCUCAGGUGCGAAAGCGUGGGGAGCAAACAGGAUUAGAUACCCUGGUAGUCCACGCCGUAAACGAUGUCGACUUGGAGGUUGUGCCCUUGAGGCGUGGCUUCCGGAGCUAACGCAUUAAGCACUCCGCCUGGGGAGUACGGCCGCAAGGCUGAAACUCAAAUGAAUUGACGG